This is a long non-coding RNA of Dama dama (fallow deer), 1175 nucleotides long. RefSeq lists it as uncharacterized. NCBI's taxonomy places the organism in Eukaryota, Metazoa, Chordata, Mammalia, Artiodactyla, Cervidae. The transcript has 7 exons. The record is from RefSeq and is a predicted model, not a curated record.
GAUGACCCUGGGGCUUUUGCCCUGCGCCACUGGGAGGCUGGCUGGAGCUGCCAUUCACCAAGGUGGGGGCUUCCGAAGGCCAGCAUCUGAGACCCUGCUCUGUGCUCUCUUGGCUCUGCCUGCAGGAGGGGCAGGCUGGAAACCCCAGCCCAACAGCCCCUAAACCAGCCCUCCAUCAGUGACCCCCUCUCCCUCCACCUCCAGGCAGGGACCACUAGGUCCCAGAGUUCCCCAGGGGGGUUGCAUCUCAGUUGCACCCAGAGUGGUCAUGUAUGGACGUGAGAGUUGGACUAUAAAGAAAGCUGAUCACUGAAGAAUUGAUGCUUUUGAGCUGUGGUGUUGGAGAAGACUCUUGAGAGUCCCUUGGACUGCAAGGAGAUCCAACCAGUCCAUCCUAAAGGAGAUCAGUCCUGGGUGUUCAUUGGAAGGACUGAUGCUGAAGCUGAAACUCCAAUACUUCGGCCACCUCAUGAGUUGGCCUCAUUGGCCACCAAUGAGUUGACUCAUUGGAAAAGACCCUGAUGCUGGGAAAGACUGAGGGCAGGAGGAGAAGGGGAUGACAGAGGAUGAGAUGGAUCACCUUCCCCAAACUGCUUACACUUCAGUUCUCGUCUCAGGAUGGGCAUCUGGCAACCAGCCUGAGACAAGCGGAUGAGACUGGGAGCCAGCCUUGGAGCUGCUGGGUGUGCGCUGCCCGUCUCACGUGGAAGGGAUGCAGGCAGGCAGUCCCCUGAGGCUGCAGUUGAGUGAAGAGCUCCUGGCUAGAGCUGUCAGUAAUAAUCCAGCAUCCCUGGACACUCCCCAAAGUGGCAUGUUGGGGAGAAUGUUUUCAUCUUUGAGUCCCCCCAGACAGUGAGUGAGAACAGAGUCUAGACCCUCCUCACCUCCCCAGACCUGUCUGAGAGUCUCUAUCCUAAGCAACAGGGUCCAGAGCCAUCUGGGCCGGAAGAUGAGCGACACCUCAAGAAGGGGGCGCUGGGGAGGCGAAGACGGAGCGCUAAGACCGGGCGUUAGAAACAAGCAGAGCCAGCCAUGGGUCUCCACCAUUGCCGGGAACCCUCCAGCAACUGUCAGACCGCCCCCACGCCUGGCACCUUGGCAAGGAGGACAGGGCAGAGAGAACCAAUGCUGCCCAGGAGUUUUGAAAAAAAAAAUUAUUACAAAAUAAAAACUGA